GCCGGCUCCUUGACGAGUACUUUCCGUCGACCGAACUCGUACGUACAAUACCACGUUGAUCGAUUCUUCCUGAGACAAGGUGCACGUACAAAGCUAGCUAGCAAGCAGCCUAGUAGCUGGAUGGAUUUUACUUGGUGUCACCUAGCUUCGAAUACUACUCGGUGUCAGCUAGCUUCGAAUACGAGCCAGAUCAAGUCGCAGACGGAACACUGAAAAAUACACGCACGCAAGACAACACUAAGACGCCGAGAUUGAUGGCUACGGGAGCGUGCCGCUCCCGAAUAUUUCUGUGUAUUGCUUUGAUAUGAGUAUUAUACGGGAAGCUAGUACAUAUAUAUAGUACCUAGACUACAUAGUACAAGCCGACUCGGUCAGGGAUUGAAUCCGUGCCGGACUCAAUUUUGGCUAAUCGUGAUUAGUUCCAAUAAUCACCCCCCUAAGCACGAUGUCCUCACUUCACAGCUUGGACGCCGAUCCUUUCCCGUAUCUCUGUGAACUUCUGUCGUCCCAAAGACUUGGUCAGGAUAUCUGCAAGCUGAUCCUCGGUGCAAACGUAGUUGACUUCAAUCUUGCCUUCUUCCACACACUGCCGUAUGUAGUGAUACCUUAUAUCUAUGUGCUUAGUCCUGUCAUGAUGCACUGGAUUCUUACACAGGGCAAUCGCAGACUUGUUGUCAACAUUGAACACCACCCUUUCUGGUUCUUUAUCUGUGAGGUCACCGAGUAGCCUUUCUAGCCACACACCUUGACCCGCUGCGGUUGCAGCUGCUAUAUACUCUGCUUCGCAGGACGAUAAUGCGACCACCUUCUGUUUUUGUGAUAGCCAAGUUACUAUGCUCCUGCCCAAGAAAUAUGCCAGACCCGAGGUACUUUUACGGUCAUCCACAUCUCCUGCCAGGUCGCUAUCACUGUAGCCAAGUAGCUCCACCAUCUCCUUCUUUUUCUCUCUCAAAUAGACACAACCAAAGUUUGUUGUCCCUUUGAUGUACCUGAGUAUAUGUUUGACAGCUGCCCAAUGUUCAGUCGUGGAUGAUUCCAUGAAGCGACUCACUAUGCCAACGGAAUAGGCCAAGUCCGGUCGUGUAUUCACAAGAUACCUUAGGCUUCCGACCACACUUCUAUAAUCCGUUGCAUCAACCGCAGGGGCUUCACUCCUUUUGCUAAGUUUAAGACGAGGCUCCAUUGGAGCAUAAGUUGGUUUGCAAUCCUCCAUGCUACAACUUUGAAGUAUCUUCUUUGCAUAUGCCUCUUGACAUAGUGUGAUCCCAUUCGGCUUUUGUUGUACCUCGAUCCUGAGGUAGUAUGUCAAGAGCCCUAGAUCACUCAUCUUGAAUAGCUCCUUCAUUUGUAGCUUGAAUCUUGCAAUCUCCUCUUCGUCUGCUCCAGUUAUCAAGAGAUCAUCAACAUAGAUGCCCACUAAGAGACGAUCCUUGCCUUUACCUCGCUUGUACAUAGCAUGUUCGAGUGGACUUUUCUCAAAACCAAGAGAAAUCAAUGUACGGUCAAGCUUGAUGUUCCAUGCCCGAGGAGCUUGAUGUAGCCCAUACAAUGCCUUGUGUAGCUUCAAAACCUUGUGUUCUUCUCCUUCUUUGAUGUACCCCGGUGGUUGCUUCACGUAUACUUCUUCUUCCAACUCCCCGUUCAAAAACGUGGAUUUUACAUCCAUGUGAUGUAGCCUCCAAGAUUCUUGAGCCGCGAGAGCUAUAACUAGCCUCACCGAUUCCAUCCUUGUGACUGGAGCGAACACUUCCUCGAAGUCCACACCUUGCUCUUGCACGAAUCCUUUAGCUACGAGCCGAGCUUUAUGCUUGACCAAGUUUCCUUCGGCAUCCUUCUUGACUUUGUACACCCACUUGAGCCCUAUGGAUUUUUGACCGUUGGGAAGAUCAGCGAGCUCCCAUACUUUGUUGUCUCGUAUUGAUCCCAACUCUUCAUCCAUAGCACGACGCCAACACUCCUCGGUAUUUGCUUCUUCAAAUUUCGUCGGUUCCUCGACGCUAAGCAAACAUUGUCGUCCUCUUAUAACUUUGACAGGAUUAAUAGUACGAAGUGCUUCCUCCGGAUAUAAAUCCACCACUGGUCGAAGACGAAUUGGUGUCGGUGGACGUUCCCUUGUCUCCUGUUCUGUCGAAGACGAGGAAUUUUCAUCUUGUGGAGUUGCCAAACUCCUGUUUUUUGGCGAUCCAGGUUCUCCAGAAUUAGUUGCACGUACAUGUGAACCUUCAAGUCCACGUGCAUGCCUUCCUGUCUCACAACUAGCUUGAGUAGGAGCCAGAUUCUGGCCACGUCCAGGCUGUGGACUUCCAGGCGCAGCUCCCAGGCUGCUCCCCUGUGGUACGUAGUCACUUGGUCGAGCGCUUCGAGCAUUGCUUGGUGUGCUGCACGAGCCAUCGCACGCCUCGUCUGCUGCGUCCUGCUGCGUGCCUUGGCGCGCCUCCGUCGCUGCUUUAUCUGGCGCGUUCAGUUGCGCUGCGUUGUUUGGAGAAUCACUCGGCGUCGUUGUAGUCUCCGGUUGAUUAUCGACAUGCUCGUAUUCGUUGUAAAUAACGUGAAAGAUUUCAUCAGAGAUCGGGUAUACCGGCUCGGUAGAGUUCCAAUUCCAUGACCUUGCUUCUUCAAAGACCACGUCACGCGUCACAACCACCUUAUUGGUAGAGGGGUUGCACGCACGGUACGCCUUCGAGCCUGCUUCAUAGCCAACCAAUAUCAUUGGAGUACUCCGAUCCGCCAACUUACUUGUAUGCCCGGCCACCGUCUUCACAUGCGCCACACACCCGAAAGUACGAAGAUGAUCAACCGCGGGCUUAUGUCCGUACCAUGCUUCGUACGGCGUCAUCCCAACCACACUCUUGGUUGGAGCCCGGUUCAGCAAAUAAACGGCCGUAUUGACCGCCUCACCCCAAAACUUGCCCGGGAUCCCUUUGCUCUUCAUCAUGCUUCGUGCCAUCGCCACCAUGGUUUGAUUCCUCCGUUCCACAACACUGUUUUGCUGCGGUGAAUAUGGCGCCGUAAGAUACCGCUUGAUCCCAUGUGCUUCGCAAAAUUCUGUGAAUUCACGAGACUUGAACUCACCCCCCCGAUCGGUACGGAGGGCCUUCAGCUUGGCUUCGGAUUCUACCUCGGCCGCCAUCUUUACUUUCCUGAAGGCUUGCAAAGCUUGGUCCUUCGUCUUCAACAACACAAUCCACAUGUAUCUGCUGAAGUCGUCGAUGAUGAGUAAGAAGUAUUUGUUCCCAGCCGGGGUAGCCGGUGUAAUGGGUCCGCACAAGUCUCCAUGGACCAACUCAAGAGCUUUACUUGCUCUAAAGUUUCCCUCUCUCGGGAACAAGGCCUGCCUUUGUUUCCCAACAAGGCAACCGUCCCACACUUGCUCAACAUGAUCAAUGCACGGUAGGCCACGUACCAUCUCCCUUUGUCCAAGUUGCCGAAGAGCCUGGAAAUUUAGAUGACCGUAGCGCGCGUGCCACUUCCAUGCCGAGUCCUCCAUGCUUGACAAGAGACAUACUGGAUCCACACGAUCCAAGUUGAGGACGUAGAGUCUGUUUGGCGACCUCUGCACCUUCAUGAUCAGCAUCCUCUGACGGUCAUACCCCCAUAGAUAGCCAUCUUCGAGCACAAUCUUGCAACCACGCUCCUCGAGCUGGCCAAGACUUAUGAUGUUGCUCUUUAGCUUGGGAAUAUAGUACACAUCUGUGAGUACCUUGUGACCGCCAUUCUUCAGCUCAAACAGGACAGUACCUCGCCCUGUGAUGUCAACGGUCCGCCCGUCACCGAACCGAACCGUGCCUCCAACCGAGAGAUUUAGCUCAGAAAACUGGUCCUUGUCACCGGUCAUGUGGUUGCUUGCUCCCGUGUCGAGGUACCACACGUGCCUCGCCGUGUUCACCCUCUUCUUGUCAUGAAGGUAAACCUUCUCUUCGUCGAGCGUGACAACCUCGGUAGCCGGUGCCUUCGGAGCUGGACCAUCCUCGUCCAUAAGCUCGCAUACUUCGACCAUGAGCAUCACAUCGCUAUCAUCGCCUCCCUUGGCCAUGAGUGAUUUUUCCUUCGGUGGACUCUUGCAAUCAGACUUGAAGUGACCGAGGAUUCCACAAUUGUGACACCUUACUUUUUUUAUGUCAAAUUUUCUCCUUGGUUUUCUAGCCUUUUCUUCCUGUCCAGCGAGGUCCUUUUUCGCCGGGCUUUGCUUCUCCUUUGCUUUACUACCGCUUGUGGAUCCACCUUGUUUUCCUUUCGACAGGGCCAUCCAUUGCGCCAUUGUAACCAUGAGAUGCUCACUCUCCUUCGAAUCGCCGAAGCUGAGACGAAUUCUCUCGUCGUGGGCCUUGAACCUUCCGACGAGAUCCUCGACCGUGAGAGUGUUCAGGUCAAGACAUUGCUCGAUCGACGUGACGAUUUGGAUGUAGCGCGCCGGCGCGGCGCGCAAAAAUCGUCGGACGAUCGCAACUUCUUCUAGGGUUGAACCAUAGCCGCGUAUGCCGUUGACGAGGGUCUUGAGACGGGCGGCAAACUGAUCAACCGUCUCGCUUUCCUCCAUCUUCAGGCACUCGUAGCUUCUCAUCAGAGACUGAAGGUGUGCGUCCUUGACACGGUCAUGACCCUGGUGCAGGAUCUUGAUGGUCUCCCAUGCCUCCUUCGCCGUUUUCUUUCCGACGAGGUGUUGUAGCACAUCCUUCGGCAUGGCGGAGUAGAUCGCCGUUAACGCCCGACGAUCCGUCCGGUACUUUGCCGCGCCUUUCGCGUACUCGGCGCCGCUGGGAUCGACGGCUUUCCAGAACUCCGCUCCCUCCAUCGCGACCUCCAUGUUCAUCGCCCAUAGUGCGUAGUCCUCUCGAUCCAGUCGGGGGAAUUGCGACCCCCCAACCAUCGGCAUCUGUGCUUUAGCUCCCGCCACAACGAUCUCCUUGCCCGGGUUUGACAUGAUCCUUCGAUUGCUUUCCGAAGAUCACGCCAAUAAACCAAGCUCUAGAUACCAAUUGUUGACACAUGCCCGAUCAAGCGUUGUACGCCGGCUCCUUGACGAGUAUUUUCCGUCGACCGAACUCGUACGUACAAUACCACGUUGAUCGAUUCUUCCUGAGACAAGGUGCACGUACAAAGCUAGCUAGCAAGCAGCCUAGUUGCUGGAUGGAUUUUACUUGGUGUCAGCUAGCUUCGAAUACUACUCGGUGUCAGCUAGCUUCGAAUACGAGCCAGAUCAAGUCGCCGGCGGAACACUGAAAAAUACACGCACGCAAGACAACACUAAGACGUCGAGAUUGAUGGCUACGGGAGCGUGUCGCUCCCGAAUAUUUCUGUGUAUUGCUUUGAUCUGAGUAUUACAGGGGGAGCUAGUACAUAUAUAUAUAUAGUACCUAGACUACAUAGUACAAGCCGACUCGGCCAGGGAUUGAAUCC
RNAcentral lists this long non-coding RNA (5397 nucleotides) under Hordeum vulgare. RNAcentral's name for it is "long non-coding RNA (HVUL_LNC016919)". The record is from RNAcentral. Lineage: Eukaryota; Viridiplantae; Streptophyta; Magnoliopsida; Poales; Poaceae.